UUUAAUGGCCGCGGUAUUUUGACCGUGCAAAGGUAGCAUAAUCAUUAGUUUUUUAAUUGAAAGCUGGAAUGAAAGGUUGAAUGAGAAAAUAACUGUCUUUAUUAUAUUUAAUUAGAAUUUUAUUUUUAAGUUAAAAAGCUUAAAUUUAAUUUAAAGACGAGAAGACCCUUUAGAGUUUUAUAAAGAAUUUGUUUUUGAUUUUUUAGAAUUAAUUAUAAUGAGGCAAUGUUUUAUUUGGUUGGGGCGAUUAAAAAAUUUAAUAAACUUUUUUUCUUACUUUACAUUAAUUUAUGAAUACUUGAUCCUUAAUUUAAGAUUAUAAGAUUAAAUUACCUAAGGGAUAACAGCGUUAUUUUUUUUGAGAGUUCUUAUCGAAAAAAAAGAUUGCGACCUCGAUGUUGGAUUAAAAUUAAAUUAUGGUGUAGAGGCUAUAACUUUAGGUCUGUUCGACCUUUAAAAUUUUACAUGAUCUGAGUUUAAACCGGUGUAAGCCAGGUUGGUUUCUAUCUUAAAUUUAUUAUAAUAUUUUAGUACGAAAGGACCAAAUAUUAUAUUUAUAAUAUUAAAAUUUGAAUAAAACUA
This 582-nucleotide ribosomal RNA is filed under the name Brassicogethes aeneus. Its description in RNAcentral is "partial large subunit ribosomal RNA". It matches the Rfam family "Bacterial large subunit ribosomal RNA", at positions 1923 to 2783 of the family's 2925-position model. Lineage: Eukaryota; Metazoa; Arthropoda; Insecta; Coleoptera; Nitidulidae. The record is from RNAcentral.